RNAcentral lists this ribosomal RNA (468 nucleotides) under uncultured bacterium. RNAcentral's name for it is "partial 16S ribosomal RNA". It matches the Rfam family "Bacterial small subunit ribosomal RNA", at positions 28 to 507 of the family's 1533-position model. The record is from RNAcentral.
GACGAACGCUGGCGGCGUGCUUAACACAUGCAAGUCGAACGGAAAGGCCCUGCUUUUGUGGGGUGCUCGAGUGGCGAACGGGUGAGUAACACGUGAGUAACCUGCCCUUGACUUUGGGAUAACUUCAGGAAACUGGGGCUAAUACCGGCUAGGAGCUCCUGCUGCAUGGUGGGGGUUGGAAAGUUUCGGCGAUUGGGGAUGGACUCGCGGCUUAUCAGCUUGUUGGUGUGGUAGUGGCUUACCAAGGCUUUGACGGGUAGCCGGCCUGAGAGGGUGACCGGCCCCAUUGGGACUGAGAUACGGCCCAGCCUCCUACGGGAGGCAGGAGUGGGGAAUAUUGCACUAUGGGCGGAAGCCUGAUGCAGCAACGCCGCGUGCGGGAUGACGGCCUUCGGGUUGUAAACCGCUUUCGCCUGUGACGAAGCGUGAGUGACGGUAAUGGGUAAAGAAGCACCGGCUAACUACGUG